Molecule: ribosomal RNA, 570 nt
Filed under: Lichenodiplis lecanorae
Lineage: Eukaryota; Fungi; Ascomycota; Eurotiomycetes; Verrucariales; Verrucariaceae
Description: bacterial SSU rRNA
Rfam family: Bacterial small subunit ribosomal RNA
Source: RNAcentral
UCUUUAUUAGGUUUAUAGGGUACCUAGACCGAAAACCAAGCCUUAAUCGGGACUAGUUUUCUAGAGUUUUAUGUGAGAAAGUUGAAUGAUCAGAGUAGAGUCAAAAUUCGCUAAUACUGAUAAGACGGAUAACGGCGAAGGCUGCUUUCUAUGUAAAAAACUGACGUUGAGGUACGAAGCCCAGGGUAGCAAGAAGGAUUAGAUACCCUAGUAGUCCUGGGAGAAAAUUAUGAGUGCCAUAGAUUAGAUAUAUGAUUAAUUUAUAAAUGAAAGUGUAAGCAUUCCACCUCAUGAGUAAAGCGGCAACGCCCAAAUUGAAAUCAUUAGACCGUUUCUGAAACCAGUAGUGAAGUAUGUUAUUUAAUUCGAUAAUCCGCGAAAAACCUUACCACACUUUGAAUAUUAUUCAAUUUUUACAAGCGCUGCACGGCUGUCUACAGUUGAUAUCGUGAGAUUUUGGUUAAUUCCUUUAAUUAACGAAAACCCUUGUUUUAUUUUUUCAAAUAAAGCUGUUCUCCGUCUAGAUGGGAUAUGCUAAAAGGGAGCAAGACAAGUCAUUAUGGCCUUAUA